ACUCAAAUGAAUUGACGGGGGCCCGCACAAGCAGCGGAGCGUGUGGUUUAAUUCGACGCAACGCGCAGAACCUUACCAGGACUGGAAAGCACCCGUUCAGGCGGCGAAAGCCGCUGGCCGCAAGGCGAGGGAGACAGAUGCUGCAUGGCUGUCGUCAGCUCGUGCCGUGAGGUGUCGGGUUAAGUCCCGCAACGAGCGCAACCCCUGUUGCUAGUUGAAUGUCUAGCGAGACUGCCCCCGCAAGGGGGAGGAAGGCGGGGAUGACGUCAAGUCAGCACGGCUCUGACGUCCUGGGCUACACACACGCUACAAUGGGCGCGACAAAGGGCAGCGAACCCGCGAGGGGGAGCGAAUCCCAGAAAGGCGUCCUCAGUUGGGAUUGCAGGCUGCAACCCGCCUGCAUGAACGUGGAGUUGCUAGUAACCGCAGGUCAGCACUACUGCGGUGAAUACGUUCCCGGGCCUUGUACACACCGCCCGU
RNAcentral lists this ribosomal RNA (480 nucleotides) under uncultured bacterium. RNAcentral's name for it is "partial 16S ribosomal RNA". It matches the Rfam family "Bacterial small subunit ribosomal RNA", at positions 899 to 1397 of the family's 1533-position model. The record is from RNAcentral.